GAUCCUGGCUCAGGAUGAACGCUGGCGGCGUGCUUAACACAUGCAAGUCGAACGAAGCACUUUAUUUAAUUUCCUUCGGGACUGAUUAUUUUGUGACUGAGUGGCGGACGGGUGAGUAACGCGUGGGUAACCUGCCUUGUACAGGGGGAUAACAGUUGGAAACGGCUGCUAAUACCGCAUAAGCACACAGCAUCGCAUGAUGCAGUGUGAAAAACUCCGGUGGUAUAAGAUGGACCCGCGUUGG
This 244-nucleotide ribosomal RNA is filed under the name uncultured bacterium. RNAcentral describes it as "partial 16S ribosomal RNA". It matches the Rfam family "Bacterial small subunit ribosomal RNA", at positions 15 to 239 of the family's 1533-position model. The record is from RNAcentral.